UGGGGAAUAUUGGACAAUGGGCGCAAGCGUGAUCUAGCCAUGCCGCGUGAGUGAUGAAGGGGCGAGGGGGGUAAAGCGCGUUCACGGGGGAAGAUAAUGACGGUAACCGGAGAAGAAGCCCCGGCUAACGUAGUGCCAGCAGCCGCGGUAAUAAGAAGGGGGCUAGCGUUGUUCGGAUUUACUGGGCGAAAAGCGCACGUAGGCGGACGUUUAAGUCAGGGGUGAAAACCCGGGGCACAACCCCGGAACUGCCUUUGAUACUUGAAGUCGUGAGUAUGGUAGAGGUGAGUUGAAUUCCGAGUGUAGAGGUGAGAUUCGUAGAUAUUCGGAGAAACACCAGUGGCGAAGGCGGCUCACUGGACCAUUACUGACGCUGGGGUGCGAAAGCGUGGGGAGCAAACAGG
This 404-nucleotide ribosomal RNA is filed under the name Actinomycetes bacterium. RNAcentral describes it as "Actinobacteria bacterium partial 16S ribosomal RNA". It matches the Rfam family "Bacterial small subunit ribosomal RNA", at positions 355 to 776 of the family's 1533-position model. The record is from RNAcentral. Lineage: Bacteria; Bacillati; Actinomycetota; Actinomycetes.